UAAAAAACAGUGAUGGAGAAAAGUAGGUAGGUUCCAGCUUUUCAGGGAUGGAGUGUCAUAGACUGAGAGCACUCCUAAAGUAUGGUCUGUUGAAGUUCUCUCCGGAGUUGCACGGCUGAAAGGGUUUGAUAGAGUAGGCUGUGACGGGAUCUUCCGCCGUUAAAAGGAAGGGGGUAUCGGAGUUAAUUCUGCUGAGAACGAAUUCCCGUACUUAACCAAGUGGGCAUGUUUACAUGCCAAUUAGGGUGGUACCGCGAAAACUUUUCGUCCCUGGA
RNAcentral lists this non-coding RNA (275 nucleotides) under Peptococcaceae bacterium. RNAcentral's name for it is "T-box sequence". It matches the Rfam family "T-box leader". Rfam says of the family: Uncharged tRNA acts as the effector for transcription antitermination of genes in the T-box leader family. T-boxes are found upstream of many aminoacyl-tRNA synthetase genes and some amino acid biosynthetic genes usually in Gram-positive bacteria. Lineage: Bacteria; Bacillati; Bacillota; Clostridia; Eubacteriales; Peptococcaceae. The record is from RNAcentral.